This 465-nucleotide ribosomal RNA is filed under the name Vreelandella stevensii. RNAcentral describes it as "partial 16S ribosomal RNA". It matches the Rfam family "Bacterial small subunit ribosomal RNA", at positions 338 to 795 of the family's 1533-position model. Lineage: Bacteria; Pseudomonadati; Pseudomonadota; Gammaproteobacteria; Oceanospirillales; Halomonadaceae. The record is from RNAcentral.
CCUACGGGAGGCUGCAGUGGGGAAUAUUGGACAAUGGGCGCAAGCCUGAUCCAGCCAUGCCGCGUGUGUGAAGAAGGCCUUCGGGUUGUAAAGCACUUUCAGUGGGGAAGAAAGCCUUGGGGCUAAUACCCUCGAGGAAGGACAUCACCCACAGAAGAAGCACCGGCUAACUCCGUGCCAGCAGCCGCGGUAAUACGGAGGGUGCGAGCGUUAAUCGGAAUUACUGGGCGUAAAGCGCGCGUAGGCGGUCUGAUAAGCCGGUUGUGAAAGCCCCGGGCUCAACCUGGGAACGGCAUCCGGAACUGUCAGGCUAGAGUGCAGGAGAGGAAGGUAGAAUUCCCGGUGUAGCGGUGAAAUGCGUAGAGAUCGGGAGGAAUACCAGUGGCGAAGGCGGCCUUCUGGACUGACACUGACGCUGAGGUGCGAAAGCGUGGGUAGCAAACAGGAUUAGAUACCCUUGUAGUC